GAACCUUUCAAGUAAAUGAGAAAGGGCAGCAGCUUAAUAUAAACAUGGGGUUACUGACAAAAGGAGCUAAUCAGCAACAGCUUCUUGUGAUCGGUGGUACCGGAUCUUCAGUUGCGCAUCCCUACAUCAAUGCACUGCCAAUGGGUUAUAUCCUGUGUUGUGACCUCAUGGUUUAAGUGGGAAUAAAGAUGAGUAUAAGCAGUGAUGAGGUCAACUUCUUGGUAUAUAGAUACUUG
RNAcentral lists this long non-coding RNA (236 nucleotides) under Marmota monax (woodchuck). The record is from RNAcentral. Lineage: Eukaryota; Metazoa; Chordata; Mammalia; Rodentia; Sciuridae.